RNAcentral lists this unclassified non-coding RNA (245 nucleotides) under uncultured fungus. Its description in RNAcentral is "partial contains 5.8S rRNA and ITS2". The stretch from base 1 to 52 matches the Rfam family "5.8S ribosomal RNA", at positions 103 to 154 of the family's 154-position model. The record is from RNAcentral. Lineage: Eukaryota; Fungi.
AACGCACAUUGCGCCCCGUGGUAUUCCGCGGGGCAUGCCUGUUCGAGCGUCAUUUCACCACUCAAGCCUCGCUUGGUAUUGGGCGACGCGGUCCGCCGCGCGCCUCAAAUCGACCGGCUGGGUCGAUCGCACCCUCAGCGUUGUGGAAACUAUUCGCUAAAGGAAUUGUGGUCGGUCACGCCGUGAAACAAACCAAUCUUUCAAUGGUUGACCUCGGAUCAGGUAGGGAUACCCGCUGAACUUAA